Molecule: ribosomal RNA, 872 nt
Filed under: uncultured bacterium
Lineage: Bacteria
Description: bacterial SSU rRNA
Rfam family: Bacterial small subunit ribosomal RNA
Source: RNAcentral
UGGCGGCGUGGAUUAGGCAUGCAAGUCGAACGAAUCCCAUCUGGGCAACUGGGUGGGGGAAGUGGCGAAAGGGGCAGUAAGGCGUGGGUAACCUGCCUCGGAGUUGGGAAUAGCCUCUCUAACGAGAGGGUAAUACCCGAUGUCAUGUCGAAGGGGCCUCCUUUUGACAUGAAAGCUCAGGCGCUCCGAGAGGGGCCACGUGAUAUUAGCUUGUUGGUGAAGUAACGGCUCACCAAGGCCAAGAUGUCUAGCAGGUGUGAGAGCACGACCUGCGCCACUGGCACUGGGACACUGGCCAGACUCCUACGGGAGGCUGCAGUCGAGGAUCUUCGGCAAUGGGCGCAAGCCUGACCGAGCGACGCCGCGUGUGCGAUGAAGGCCUUCGGGUUGUAAAGCACUGUCGGGGGGAAGAAAAGCCGCAAGGCUUGAUCGACCCCCGGAGGAAGCACGGGCUAAGUUCGUGCCAGCAGCCGCGGUAAGACGAACCGUGCGAACGUUGUUCGGAAUCACUGGGCUUAAAGGGCGCGUAGGCGGGCAGGCAAGUCAGGGGUGAAAGCCCACGGCUCAACCGUGGAAGUGCCUUUGAUACUGGUCGUCUCGAGGGAGGUAGGGGUGUGUGGAACUUCCAGUGGAGCGGUGAAAUGCGUUGAUAUUGGAAGGAACGCCGGAGGCGAAAGCGACGCACUGGACCUCUUCUGACGCUGAGGCGCGAAAGCUAGGGGAGCAAACGGGAUUAGAUACCCCGGUAGUCCUAGCCCUAAACGAUGGGUACUAGAUUGUAGACUGAUCAUGGGUUUACAGUCGAAGCAAAAGUGUUAAGUACCCCGCCUGGGGAGUAUGGUCGCAAGGCUGAAACUCAAAUGAAUUGACGG